UUGGUUCUAUUAUGAAGGGUGUC
This 23-nucleotide non-coding RNA is filed under the name Rattus norvegicus (Norway rat). The record is from RNAcentral. Lineage: Eukaryota; Metazoa; Chordata; Mammalia; Rodentia; Muridae.